This 91-nucleotide transfer RNA is filed under the name Litoribrevibacter albus. RNAcentral describes it as "tRNA-Ser". It matches the Rfam family "tRNA". From Rfam's summary of the family: Transfer RNA (tRNA) molecules are approximately 80 nucleotides in length. Lineage: Bacteria; Pseudomonadati; Pseudomonadota; Gammaproteobacteria; Oceanospirillales; Oceanospirillaceae. RNAcentral also lists the same sequence under 1 other name. The record is from RNAcentral.
GGAGGGGUGGCAGAGUGGUCGAAUGCACCGGUCUUGAAAACCGGCGCGGGUUAAUAGCCCGCCGAGAGUUCGAAUCUCUCCUCCUCCGCCA